GCGAAGAUUAAGAUGUUGAACGCACUGCUUAAGAAGUUAGAGGUGGCUGCGCUCUGUUGUUACAUGUGCCUCAAAUAUUUAAUGUUUUAGGUCUGUAAGAGUGGCUAUAGUAUUUAUUCGCUUACUAUUAUUGAUGAAAUCAAAAAAGAAAAAGGGAUUACUUUUUAGAUACCUUAUCUAAAUUCGGAUACGGUGUCAAUUUCUAAGGGCUAAACUAUGAUAAUGUGAAGAUGAAAAUGUUCU
This 243-nucleotide long non-coding RNA is filed under the name Prunus persica (peach). Its description in RNAcentral is "long non-coding RNA (PPER_LNC003165)". Lineage: Eukaryota; Viridiplantae; Streptophyta; Magnoliopsida; Rosales; Rosaceae. The record is from RNAcentral.